AUACUUACCUGGACGGGAUUUAUGGGCGAUCAAGAGGGCUCAUGGUCUAGAUGAGUGACCUCCAUUGCACAUGGGAGGGGUGCUGGUCUAAGGUCUCCCCAAGUGGGAGAGCCUACGUCAUAAUUUGUGGUAGUGGGGGGCCUGCGUUCGCGCGGCCUCUAU
Molecule: small nuclear RNA, 162 nt
Organism: Hevea brasiliensis (rubber tree)
Lineage: Eukaryota; Viridiplantae; Streptophyta; Magnoliopsida; Malpighiales; Euphorbiaceae
Product: U1 spliceosomal RNA
Exons: 1
Source: RefSeq, a predicted model, not a curated record